RNAcentral lists this ribosomal RNA (685 nucleotides) under Priestia koreensis. RNAcentral's name for it is "bacterial SSU rRNA". It matches the Rfam family "Bacterial small subunit ribosomal RNA", at positions 86 to 757 of the family's 1533-position model. The record is from RNAcentral. Lineage: Bacteria; Bacillati; Bacillota; Bacilli; Caryophanales; Bacillaceae.
AACAAGUUAGCGGCGGACGGGUGAGUAACACGUGGGUAACCUGCCUGUAAGAUGGGGAUAACUCCGGGAAACCGGAGCUAAUACCGAAUAACACUUUCGCUCGCAUGAGCGGAUGUUAAAAGACGGUUUCGGCUGUCACUUACAGAUGGACCCGCGGCGCAUUAGCUAGUUGGUGAGGUAACGGCUCACCAAGGCGACGAUGCGUAGCCGACCUGAGAGGGUGAUCGGCCACACUGGGACUGAGACACGGCCCAGACUCCUACGGGAGGCAGCAGUAGGGAAUCUUCCGCAAUGGACGAAAGUCUGACGGAGCAACGCCGCGUGAGUGAUGAAGGUUUUCGGAUCGUAAAACUCUGUUGUUAGGGAAGAACAAGUAUGAGAGUAACUGCUCGUACCUUGACGGUACCUAACCAGAAAGCCACGGCUAACUACGUGCCAGCAGCCGCGGUAAUACGUAGGUGGCAAGCGUUGUCCGGAAUUAUUGGGCGUAAAGCGCGCGCAGGCGGUUCCUUAAGUCUGAUGUGAAAGCCCACGGCUCAACCGUGGAGGGUCAUUGGAAACUGGGGAACUUGAGUGCAGAAGAGGAAAGCGGAAUUCCACGUGUAGCGGUGAAAUGCGUAGAGAUGUGGAGGAACACCAGUGGCGAAGGCGGCUUUCUGGUCUGUAACUGACGCUGAGGCGCGAA